GACGAACGCUGGCGGCGUGCCUAAUACAUGCAAGUUGAGCGCUGAAGGUUGGUACUUGUACCAACUGGAUGAGCAGCGAACGGGUGAGUAACGCGUGGGGAAUCUGCCUUUGAGCGGGGGACAACAUUUGGAAACGAAUGCUAAUUCCGCAUAAAAACUUUAAACACAAGUUUUAAGUUUGAAAGAUGCAAUUGCAUCACUCAAAGAUGAUCCCGCGUUGUAUUAGCUAGUUGGUGAGGUAAAGGCUCACCAAGGCGAUGAUACAUAGCCGACCUGAGAGGGUGAUCGGCCACAUUGGGACUGAGACACGGCCCAAACUCCUACGGGAGGCAGCAGUAGGGAAUCUUCGGCAAUGGACGAAAGUCUGACCGAGCAACGCCGCGUGAGUGAAGAAGGUUUUCGGAUCGUAAAACUCUGUUGGUAGAGAAGAACGUUGGUGAGAGUGGAAAGCUCAUCAAGUGACGGUAACUACCCAGAAAGGGACGGCUAACUACGUG
This 497-nucleotide ribosomal RNA is filed under the name uncultured bacterium. RNAcentral describes it as "partial 16S ribosomal RNA". It matches the Rfam family "Bacterial small subunit ribosomal RNA", at positions 28 to 507 of the family's 1533-position model. The record is from RNAcentral.